CCACUGGUAGCUCAGUUGGAUAGAGCAACGCGUUGAUCGCGUGUGUCGCGGGUUCGACUCCCGCCCAUCCUUCCC
Molecule: transfer RNA, 75 nt
Filed under: Comamonadaceae bacterium OH3737_COT-264
Lineage: Bacteria; Pseudomonadati; Pseudomonadota; Betaproteobacteria; Burkholderiales; Comamonadaceae
Description: tRNA-Ser
Rfam family: tRNA (bases 5-67)
About the family: Transfer RNA (tRNA) molecules are approximately 80 nucleotides in length. Their secondary structure includes four short double-helical elements and three loops (D, anti-codon, and T loops). Further hydrogen bonds mediate the characteristic L-shaped molecular structure. tRNAs have two regions of fundamental functional importance: the anti-codon, which is responsible for specific mRNA codon recognition, and the 3' end, to which the tRNAs corresponding amino acid is attached (by aminoacyl-tRNA synthetases). tRNAs cope with the degeneracy of the genetic code in two manners: having more than one tRNA (with a specific anti-codon) for a particular amino acid; and 'wobble' base-pairing, i.e. permitting non-standard base-pairing at the 3rd anti-codon position.
Source: RNAcentral